Molecule: small RNA, 106 nt
Filed under: Klebsiella oxytoca
Lineage: Bacteria; Pseudomonadati; Pseudomonadota; Gammaproteobacteria; Enterobacterales; Enterobacteriaceae
Description: Salmonella enterica Typhi npcRNA 44
Rfam family: Salmonella enterica Typhi npcRNA 44
Source: Rfam by way of RNAcentral
CUUUAAAAAUCUGGAUCAAGCUGAAAAUUGAAACGACACACAGUGAAUGUGUGUUCGAGUCUCUCAAAUUUUCGCGACACGAUGAUGUUUCACGAAACAUCUUCGG